GCUGGGUGUGGUGGUGCGCACCUGUAAUCCCAGCUACUGGGGAGGCUGAGGCAGGAGAAUCACUUGAACCUGGGAGGUGGAGGUUGCAGUGAGCCAAGAUUGUGCCACUGCCCUCCAGCCUGGUGACAGAGUGAUACUCUGUCUCAA
Molecule: unclassified non-coding RNA, 147 nt
Organism: Macaca fascicularis (crab-eating macaque)
Lineage: Eukaryota; Metazoa; Chordata; Mammalia; Primates; Cercopithecidae
Rfam family: Metazoan signal recognition particle RNA
About the family: The signal recognition particle (SRP) is a universally conserved ribonucleoprotein. It is involved in the co-translational targeting of proteins to membranes.
Source: Ensembl